Molecule: RNA transcript, 1785 nt
Organism: Ruditapes philippinarum (Manila clam)
Lineage: Eukaryota; Metazoa; Mollusca; Bivalvia; Venerida; Veneridae
Gene name: fatty acid-binding protein 10-A, liver basic-like
Exons: 3
Source: RefSeq, a predicted model, not a curated record
GCAACGAACACUUCGCCGAUUGCCGAUUACCAAUUGUCCUUAUACCUGUUCAACGGAAAGGACUGAAACAUUGGGAGUUGCGAUGUUUUGAUUAACUGAGCGUUUGUUUCUACGGAAUGGGAAUUCCUGUCUUAUUUAACAAUGACGAAUCUAUACAUUAAUUUCGGAUAACAUCUUGUCUUAGCUUACAGGCAUCUUGCUAGGAAUUUCAAAAUCUUUCUCACACAAUAAACAUCGGUAGAUUAUUUUAACAGAAAACUAGCUGGAAUGAAAAUAAAAUUUCUUAUACAAUAAUAAGAUGCCUCAGAUUUCGAAUGAAGAUAUCCGUAUGCUGUUUGAGGAGUGUUUAUUUCUGUAGGGGACGUGGGCGGAUAUAUUUAUAUUAACAAACACUUCGUCUUCCUGUCUUAUUGUUCUCAAUCUAAUUGCUGAUUUCCUGCUCACAAAUUUAUUAAUCGUCAGUAAAUUAAAGCAAUAAUUAUAACAAUAAUAAUAAUAUAUUAUAUAAUUAUAUAAAUAAUCAGUGAGAGAAAAAAAUGGAUAUGAACGGAAAAUGGAAAUUGGUAUCCGCAGAAAAUAUACCCGAAAUCUGCGAUGUUUUAGGGACAACUGCUGAGAACAAGGAUUUGGCAAUAAAGUUGAUGAGUCUAGGAAGUAACGGCACCCAAUAUAUAAAUAUUGACGGGGACAACGUGUCUAUCAUAUAUAAUAUUCCCGGAAAGACGAUAAAAAUCGACACCAAGAUGGGUCAACCAGUUGACAUGCCAUUUUUCGAUGGACGAAUGUUGUAUGUGGCUUAACAUUACAUAUAUAUCGUGCGUGCGUACGCGUGAAUAAAUGCCUGCGUGUUCAGCGUGCGCAUGUUUGCGUGUUCCUAUUAUUUUGUUACUUUUUUCUGCUCAAGCUAGAGGGAUGCUUUUUAAUGAUUAAGUGGUCUAUCUUGGAGUUAAUUAUUUUCAACGUCUGCUUACUUUCUCUACUAUUUUUGAGUUAUAUCAUCCGAGAUUAAUAUUCAUUAAUUAAUUUAUUCUUAUCAGCUUUAGUUCAGCAUGAAUUUGGUCAUUCUCCAGUUUAAAUACAAGAUGCAGUUGAAAAGAAAAUAUGAAUACAAUGUACAUUUGAUAUAUUCGCAUAUAUAAUAAAAUCGAAGAUAGAACAUUUUAUUUUUUUUGUAUUAAUUUCAGUGCGUAUUUAGUGUAGAUGGUGAUAAACUUGUAGAGAAUCAAACAGGGGCGUUUGAAGCUGUAAAUAUUCGUUACAGGCAAGGGAGUCAACUCGUGUUGAAAAUGACGGCGAAAGGCGUCACAACCACUAGAGUAUAUGAUAAAGAAUAACAGGCAGCAUACUGUUUUCAAACAUGUAUUCUAUAUUGUUCAAUGGAAAUUGAUUUCUUACCAAAUAUUUGAAUUUAAACAUUUCAGUGACUAAAAUGAACAGUUCAUAUUUCUAUUAAAAGUGUUGAAAUGUUUAAGUGGCAUUUUCGUAUAAUUAAUUCCCUUUACCACCAUCAUCACCAUUUUUUUUUUACUUAAAGAUUAACAUAUUAACAAAGAACAGUAGUCUCAAUUAUCUUUAUUACUUUUUCUAUGUUUUUUCUACUUAAAUGCAGACUCAAACUUUUCUCAACUUUUACAUAGACUUUCAUUAUUUGAAAGACCAGGUUUUGUACUAUAAAUUUGGAAAGAAGCCAUCAACGUUUCGUCUUUGAGCUGUUACUGAGCAUUUGUUUAUAAUUAUUCUUCGUAUAUUAUUAUGAUAAUGAUUAAAGAUCUAUACAACAAUUCA